Molecule: ribosomal RNA, 253 nt
Filed under: uncultured bacterium
Lineage: Bacteria
Description: partial 16S ribosomal RNA
Rfam family: Bacterial small subunit ribosomal RNA
Source: RNAcentral
UACAGAGGGUGCGAGCGUUAUCCGGAAUUACUGGGUUUAAAGGGUGCGUAGGCGGCCAGGUAAGUCAGGAGUGAAAGUUUGCGGCUCAACCGUAAAAUUGCUUUUGAUACUGCCAGGCUAGAAUUAGGAUGAGGUCAGCGGAAUGUGGCAUGUAGCGGUGAAAUGCAUAGAUAUGCCAUAGAACACCAAUUGCGAAGGCAGCUGGCUAGACCUGGAUUGACGCUGAGGCACGAAAGCGUGGGGAGCGAACAGG